CCUACGGGUGGCAGCAGUGGGGAAUAUUGCGCAAUGGGCGAAAGCCUGACGCAGCGACGCCGCGUGAGGGAUGAAGGUCUUCGGAUCGUAAACCUCCGUCAGCAGGGAAGAACGGUCACUGUGCUAAUCAGCAGUGAAUUGACGGUACCUGCAAAGCAAGCACCGGCUAACUUCGUGCCAGCAGCCCCGGUAAUACGGAGGGUGCGAGCGUUAAUCGGAAUUACUGGGCGUAAAGCGCUGGUAGGCGGGAUGUCAAGCCAAGGGUGAAAUCCCCGCGCCGAAAGUGGGAACUGCCGUUGAAACUGGCAAACUGGAGUGUGUGAGAGGAUAGUGGAAUUCCAGGUGUAGGAGUGAAAUGCGUAGAUAUCUGGAGGAACAUCAGUGGCGAAGGCGACUAUCUGGCACAUAACUGACGCUGAGGAGCGAAAGCGUGGGUAGCAAACAGGAUUAGAUACCCGUGUAGUC
This 465-nucleotide ribosomal RNA is filed under the name uncultured bacterium. RNAcentral's name for it is "partial 16S ribosomal RNA". It matches the Rfam family "Bacterial small subunit ribosomal RNA", at positions 338 to 795 of the family's 1533-position model. The record is from RNAcentral.